Long non-coding RNA from Passer domesticus (house sparrow), 2844 nucleotides. RefSeq lists it as uncharacterized. Lineage: Eukaryota; Metazoa; Chordata; Aves; Passeriformes; Passeridae. The transcript has 4 exons. The record is from RefSeq and is a predicted model, not a curated record.
CCCUGAAUUCAGCUGUUAAUAGUCAAAUAAUCAACACCUGAACAGCUGAAGUCUAUUAGUUUUCAUUGCAUAGUAAAUGGAUAAUGCUUUCUUGUACUGGUAUUUUAAAGCUUUGGCAGCAUUGAACCUGUGUUCCUGAGGCGGAGCAGGCAGGGGCUGGCAGCAGAUGGCACUGCUCCCCUCUGGGGCCUCCUGCUCCCCUGCGGCCAGACGUUCUUCUCAGGAGACUGCAAGGAAGACUGAAGUCUUGGACCACUCAAGGCAUUAAAAAAUCUACAACAUAUCUGCCCUGCCUUCUCCCUUGUGGAGCCUGUGGAAAUUGCCAAGGAAUUCCCAUGCCUGUUCAGCCGUGUUAUGCUGGAAGCAGUCACUAAGAAUGCACUGUGUUUUUUAGAUUUAAAUGAAAGAAAAAGGGUUUUUUUCCUCCCUGCAGCAUGUGAAUGUUUGGGAAAUGCCUCCAAAUAGAGAAAGAAUCAUAACUUUGACUCUAAACAUUUUGAAGAGUUUCAAUGUUAAAGGUGUUGGUACCUCCUGGCAGCUGUUUUGUUCAGAGCUGAUCUCUGUCACAUGGGGCAGCACGUGCAGUACCAGCAGCAUCCCAGCCAACCUUUCUUCCUUGGUUGAAGGGGAGAAGAGGGAGACUGUCUUCAAACACAGAGGACUGCAGCUCUCCCAAGAGCUCCUCUGCUUUCUGUGGCAGAUGUGCAGGCCCAGAGUUUCUGUUCCCAGCUGAGAGCCCAGCAUGGCAGGAACUCUACCAGAGUGUGUGGAGCAGAGCAUGGAAGAAGGACUUAGUGGUGCUCUCCAAACACCCACCAUGCCAUUCUGCUUCCCAACGAGCUGGCUGUCAGCAGUCAUCUUUCUAUUUAAGGGUUUUGUUUCAUUAGUGUGUUUGAAGGGCAGAAAUGUAAUAUUGGAGCUGAUGGGGUUUGCAGUCAGGUUAAAUUCAAUAAAGUCCAUGCUUAGUAAGAUCUUGUAGCUAAAAAUCAUCUUAAUGCUUUGCAUAAUCACAGCUUUAUAAAAGGAACCAAAGAAAAUCCAUGAGCACUGUGAUUACUUAUGCAGAGGUAGAAAUUACCAUGUGUGUAAGUAAUAGGCGGUGUUAGUCUGGGUUUGUGUACUUUAGAUAGAUGUGUUUAUUCUAAUUUAUUGUCAGGAUUGUAUUUGAACCGAACCAAUUAUUAGUUAUAAAGUUGAAAUGUCUUAUGGAUACGGGCAUUAUAUAACUAUUGGAGGACUUUGGCUCCUUACAACUAUUAGAGGACCUUGGCUCCAUGUAGUAUUUUGUCUUUCAUAUGACAACACCUAUCAUUUCCAAGUAUCUAUCUAAACCUUGGUGUGUCUCGAUUGUUUCAGAUUAUCAUAGAGGUAUGGAAUCAGUUUAUUAAAGCCCUCUGGGACCAUUGAGUCCAAUGAUUCCCCCAACACUGCCAAGGCCACCCUAACUGUUGUACCCAAGUGCCACAUGUACACAGCUAUUUAAUCCCUCUGGGGAUGGGGACUCCACCAUUGGGCUGGUCAAACCUUUUGGCUAAGAAAUUUUUCCAAAUAUCUCAUCUAAACCUCCCUUGGCACAACAUGAGGCCGCCACCUUAUGGCUUAUACUACCAGUCUGGAAUUGCUCUCCUUAAAGUUCUCCAUUGCAGUACUCGUGUGAGACAUCUAGCCUAAUACAGUCCUUUGCUUUAAGAAAGUGGGUAUGGAUUAGGAUCCUAUUUUUGUCAUUUGCCUUUAUGAAUAUAUCCUUUGGUUCCAGUAGGACAGUUUACAAUACAGGGGAGAGUUUUGUCUUAUAGGUAUGUAGUAGUUAAUUUUUAACUGAGACAGAACUUUUAUGUGUGCUAAGUUUUCUGUGUUCCAAGCAGUAAGAAAUCUAGCUCUGAAAAUGCAUUGCCAUUAGAAUUGAGAUUAACUACUUUACUGUGGUGGAUCCUCAAGCUAAUGCCUUGAGGCCUGCUCUCUAGUCAAAUGCAAUGGCAUGGGCUUUAGAACAGGACUGGUUCCAGACAACUAAGAACUUAGACCACAAGUGAGAAAGUACUUACCAAUAAAACAUGUUCUAGUGCUGGAAAAGACUGUUUGAGAAGAUGUUAAGAGAGUCCAAACUAUACUGCUCUUACACGACAGGACAGUUAAUUUUCAGAUCUUUAAAAAUAUGUAUUUUCUAUUGAUGUUAAGCUCUGCCUGACUAAAGGAACUCAUUUUUGUUUCACACAAAGCCUUCUUAAUGCAAGAGGAGAACAGGAAUGGAGUCCCAGCCUCUUCUGCCUGUUUUCUCAUUCUGCAGAGCAGAUGAGAAAUUCCAGGAGAGGACAGACUGUCAGAUAUGUGUUGGCCAAGACUAGGAGGUGAGGGUGUUGCACACCUUCACUAGCCUCAUCUGCUCAGCCUUUUGUCUACAGUUCACAGUCUAAGUUCCACCUUGUGCCAUAGUUACAUGCAGAACUAUGUAAAUGCAAUGUUGGUGGAGUUAUUCUUGCAGUGCUGUGGCCAGAGGUGAGCCUUUUUUCUUUAAAGCAAGGAAAGAUAGAACUAUCUCUCAUGACUUCUAAGGUACUGGGACUCCUUAUCAUUAAGAUAAAAUGACUCCCUUAGCAGUGCAAAGUUAUAUAGCCCUGACAACUGUGUGCCCUCUAACCAAUGGUGAUUACUUUUCUUUUUCCUCUUUGUGAGUAUAAUUUACAAUGUUAAGGAUGAUCUUUGAGAUCUUUGCAAGAUGAGCUUGUAAAUUUUAGGUCUUCAUUUUAUUUUAAUAGAAAAGUAGAAAUGUCUUAUGUUUUUCAGAUUACUGUUUUAUAAUCUUAAAUAAUUAAAAACAAAAUCCAGAUUCUAUCUUGGCAACAU